RNAcentral lists this long non-coding RNA (628 nucleotides) under Apteryx haastii (Great spotted kiwi). Its description in RNAcentral is "lncRNA (ENSAHAG00000011675.1)". The record is from RNAcentral. Lineage: Eukaryota; Metazoa; Chordata; Aves; Apterygiformes; Apterygidae.
GGGGGAAAAUGAAAGGAGAAAGCCUCCCCUGGGAAAAAAGGGAGUGAUCCCAUUAUAAAUGAGAGUCAUACAGCAUCCUUCUGGAGGCAUGUUGAAAUUUCCCAUGGGAGGAAGAAGAAUAAACAAAGGCAGAAUGGAAGGAAUACUUAACAGGCCUGGAUUUACUGGGAAGGCCAAAAUGCCUGUGUAUGUUUCCUGCCUUUCCCCAAGUGGUAUUUGCAAUUCAUGUUUCUCCAGUGGAGUGCCACAGUCUCUCUCCAGCUGCUCAAAUCUGCAUGCUAGGUUUGGGCAGCAGAGAGAAAACAAUAUGCAGUGCACUACAGCCCAGCAGCAGAUGGAAUCAUGAGAGAAUCUCCACUGUGAUUGACAUCAGGAAGGGAUCGGCUCCCAGGGACAGUGACUAUGGGUGACUCACUGUUAUCCUUCCCUGCUGGACUGCAAAUGGGUACAGUAAUAGAGGUCUGUGAGGGAAGAGACUUUCUGGCUAUGUGUUGCUUCUGACAAGUCACAGGAGUUUCAGAUUGUCAUGUGUAACAUUAUAGUAGGAUCUCUGAACUGGCAAACCCUACUGGAAACAGAAUUCUUCCAGUGAAAUAAAUGCCUCAAUUGUAAGAAAAUGCUCUAGGAA